GCGAACACAGCGUCUGCGGUCGGAGAACGGCAACUGAGGCUCUGAAUUCUUGAAAAUAAGAGGAUUUCAUGGAGAAACCAAGCCUGAAGUCCAGCCUAAGCCACAGGAUUUUUGUGAGAGUCCAUAUAUGUUCACACCGGCCUGGAGGAAUGAACAUCUUCCCCGUGAUGAAGUUGUGCAGGAUAAACUGGAGGCCACGACACAAGUACAGUAAUGAUUCUUCUGGUGUGACGGCACACACCUGUCAUCCCAGAGGAUGGGGCAGGAGGAUUGCUGCUGAAUUUGA
Fukomys damarensis (Damara mole-rat) is the source of this 286-nucleotide long non-coding RNA. RefSeq lists it as uncharacterized. NCBI's taxonomy places the organism in Eukaryota, Metazoa, Chordata, Mammalia, Rodentia, Bathyergidae. The transcript has 3 exons. The record is from RefSeq and is a predicted model, not a curated record.